RNAcentral lists this long non-coding RNA (456 nucleotides) under Ictidomys tridecemlineatus (thirteen-lined ground squirrel). RNAcentral's name for it is "lncRNA (ENSSTOG00000030651.1)". Lineage: Eukaryota; Metazoa; Chordata; Mammalia; Rodentia; Sciuridae. The record is from RNAcentral.
GCUCUACUUCUCAUUCAGUCUCCCUCCAUCUUCUUCCUGCAACCUAAUGUCAUUCUGGGAUUUACCUGUUGCCCUUCCAGGUGAAGAAGAUGGAAAAGGGGAUAAAAAAACUGCUUCAUUUGACUUCAAGAAAAAAAUCCUCCAAUACUAGGACAAAUAAGGUGAAGAGAGUGAAGAAGUCCAAGAAGUUUCAACCAUUAUCCGGGACUGAUUAGAAGCCAAAGCCAAAUCACUCAGGCCAACCUCCAGGGACUCCACAAGAUAACACUCCUUCAAGACACAAAUCCAUCUGAAGCAAAGCUCCUUACUUCAGAAGAUUGGCAUUUCUGGAGCUGUUUAUUGAAAUUCUGGACCAUGAACUUCUGCCCUGAUGACAGGUGGUUUCUGUGGCCUAGCUCCAGAGAUCUGUCGCUUGGCCCUCAACCCCCACUUGCCAAAUCAUCCUGAAAAAGGAUC